GAACAGGACGUCACAGAGGGUGAGAAUCCCGUGCGAUGAGAUGCCCAAUCCUAUGUAAGGUGCUUUCGAAGAGUCGAGUUGUUUGGGAAUGCAGCUCUAAGUGGGUGGUAAAUUCCAUCUAAAGCUAAAUAUUGGCGAGAGACCGAUAGCGAACAAGUACAGUGAUGGAAAGAUGAAAAGAACUUUGAAAAGAGAGUGAAAAAGUACGUGAAAUUGUUGAAAGGGAAGGGUUUGAGAUCAGACUCGAUAUUUUGUGAGCCUUGCCUUCGUGGCGGGGUGACCCGCAGCUUAUCGGGCCAGCAUCGGUUUGGGCGGUAGGAUAAUGGCGUAGGAAUGUGACUUUGCUUCGGUGAAGUGUUAUAGCCUGCGUUGAUGCUGCCUGCCUAGACCGAGGACUGCGAUUUUAUCAAGGAUGCUGGCAUAAUGAUCCCAAACC
RNAcentral lists this ribosomal RNA (436 nucleotides) under Meyerozyma caribbica. RNAcentral's name for it is "LSU rRNA". It matches the Rfam family "Eukaryotic large subunit ribosomal RNA", at positions 193 to 646 of the family's 3401-position model. The record is from RNAcentral. Lineage: Eukaryota; Fungi; Ascomycota; Pichiomycetes; Serinales; Debaryomycetaceae.